CCUACGGGAGGCUGCAGUGGGGGAUAUUGCACAAUGGGGGCAACCCUGAUGCAGCGACGCCGCGUGGGCGAAGAAGUAUUUCGGUAUGUAAAGUCCUAUCAGCAGGGAAGAAGAAAUUACGGUACCUGAGUAAGAAGCACCGGCGAAAUACGUGCCAGCAGCCGCGGUAAGACGUAGGGUGCAAGCGUUAACCGGAUUUACUGGGUGUAAAGGGAGCGCAGGCGGCACGGCAAGCCUGAUGUGAAAGCCCGCGGCCCAACCGCGGGACUGCAUUUGGAACUGCGGGUCUGGAGUGCCGGAGAGGUAGUCGGAAUUCCGAGUGUAGCGGUGAAAUGCGUAGAUAUUAGGAGGAACACCAGUGGCGAAGGCGGACUGCUGGACGGUGACUGACGCUGAGGCUCGAAAGCGUGGGGAGCAAACAGGAUUAGAUACCCCAGUAGUC
RNAcentral lists this ribosomal RNA (442 nucleotides) under uncultured bacterium. Its description in RNAcentral is "partial 16S ribosomal RNA". It matches the Rfam family "Bacterial small subunit ribosomal RNA", at positions 338 to 795 of the family's 1533-position model. The record is from RNAcentral.